Molecule: ribosomal RNA, 497 nt
Filed under: uncultured bacterium
Lineage: Bacteria
Description: partial 16S ribosomal RNA
Rfam family: Bacterial small subunit ribosomal RNA
Source: RNAcentral
GAUGAACGCUGGCGGCGUGCCUAAUACAUGCAAGUCGAGCGAACGGACGAGAAGCUUGCUUCUCUGAUGUUAGCGGCGGACGGGUGAGUAACACGUUGAUAACCUACCUAUAAGACUGGGAUAACUUCGGGAAACCGGAGCUAAUACCGGAUAAUAUCUUGAACCGCAUGGUUCAAAAGUGAAAUCCGGUCUUGCUGUUACUUAUAGAUGGAUCCGCGCUGCAUUAGCUAGUUGGUAAGGUAACGGCUUACCAAGGCAACGAUGCGUAGCCGACCUGAGAGAGUGAUCGCCCACACGGGAACGGAGACACGGUCCAGACUCCUACGGGAGGCAGCAGUAGGGAAUCUUCCGCAAUGGGCGAAAGCAUGACGGAGCAACGCCGCGUGAGUGAUGAAGGUCUUCGGAUCGUAAAACUCUGUUAUUAGGGAAGAACAGAUGUGUAAGUAACUGUGCACUUCUUGACGGUACCUAAUCAGAAAGCCACGGCUAACUACGUG